RNAcentral lists this ribosomal RNA (2389 nucleotides) under Salmonella enterica subsp. enterica serovar Typhimurium. RNAcentral's name for it is "bacterial LSU rRNA". It matches the Rfam family "Bacterial large subunit ribosomal RNA", at positions 657 to 2925 of the family's 2925-position model. The record is from RNAcentral. Lineage: Bacteria; Pseudomonadati; Pseudomonadota; Gammaproteobacteria; Enterobacterales; Enterobacteriaceae.
AUAGGGGAGCCGGAGGGAAACCGAGUCUUAAUUGGGCGUUAAGUUGCAGGGUAUAGACCCGAAACCCGGUGAUCUAGCCAUGGGCAGGUUGAAGGUUGGGUAACACUAACUGGAGGACCGAACCGACUAAUGUUGAAAAAUUAGCGGAUGACCUGUGGCUGGGGGUGAAAGGCCAAUCAAACCGGGAGAUAGCUGGUUCUCCCCGAAAGCUAUUUAGGUAGCGCCUCGUGAAUUCAUCUCCGGGGGUAGAGCACUGUUUCGGCUAGGGGGCCAUCCCGGCUUACCAACCCGAUGCAAACUGCGAAUACCGGAGAAUGUUAUCACGGGAGACACACGGCGGGUGCUAACGUCCGUCGUGAAGAGGGAAACAACCCAGACCGCCAGCUAAGGUCCCAAAGUCAUGGUUAAGUGGGAAACGAUGUGGGAAGGCCCAGACAGCCAGGAUGUUGGCUUAGAAGCAGCCAUCAUUUAAAGAAAGCGUAAUAGCUCACUGGUCGAGUCGGCCUGCGCGGAAGAUGUAACGGGGCUAAACCAUGCACCGAAGCUGCGGCAGCGAACGUAUCACCCAAGACAACUUUACGGAGUUGACGAUUGACGGAGCGAAGCGACGUCAAAGCGUUCAUUAAAGUCGAGUUGGCUUAGGGAUACGUUCGUUGGGUAGGGGAGCGUUCUGUAAGCCUGUGAAGGUGUGUCGUGAGGCAUGCUGGAGGUAUCAGAAGUGCGAAUGCUGACAUAAGUAACGAUAAAGCGGGUGAAAAGCCCGCUCGCCGGAAGACCAAGGGUUCCUGUCCAACGUUAAUCGGGGCAGGGUGAGUCGACCCCUAAGGCGAGGCCGAAAGGCGUAGUCGAUGGGAAACGGGUUAAUAUUCCCGUACUUGGUGUUACUGCGAAGGGGGGACGGAGAAGGCUAUGUUGGCCGGGCGACGGUUGUCCCGGUUUAAGCGUGUAGGUGUGUGUUCCAGGUAAAUCCGGUUCACUUUAACACUGAGGCGUGACGACGAGGCACUACGGUGCUGAAGCAACAAAUGCCCUGCUUCCAGGAAAAGCCUCUAAGCAUCAGGUAACACGAAAUCGUACCCCAAACCGACACAGGUGGUCAGGUAGAGAAUACCAAGGCGCUUGAGAGAACUCGGGUGAAGGAACUAGGCAAAAUGGUGCCGUAACUUCGGGAGAAGGCACGCUGACACGUAGGUGAAGUGAUUUACUCAUGGAGCUGAAGUCAGUCGAAGAUACCAGCUGGCUGCAACUGUUUAUUAAAAACACAGCACUGUGCAAACACGAAAGUGGACGUAUACGGUGUGACGCCUGCCCGGUGCCGGAAGGUUAAUUGAUGGGGUCAGCGCAAGCGAAGCUCCUGAUCGAAGCCCCGGUAAACGGCGGCCGUAACUAUAACGGUCCUAAGGUAGCGAAAUUCCUUGUCGGGUAAGUUCCGACCUGCACGAAUGGCGUAAUGAUGGCCAGGCUGUCUCCACCCGAGACUCAGUGAAAUUGAACUCGCUGUGAAGAUGCAGUGUACCCGCGGCAAGACGGAAAGACCCCGUGAACCUUUACUAUAGCUUGACACUGAACAUUGAGCCUUGAUGUGUAGGAUAGGUGGGAGGCUUUGAAGUGUGGACGCCAGUCUGCAUGGAGCCGACCUUGAAAUACCACCCUUUAAUGUUUGAUGUUCUAACGUGGACCCGUAAUCCGGGUUGCGGACAGUGUCUGGUGGGUAGUUUGACUGGGGCGGUCUCCUCCUAAAGAGUAACGGAGGAGCACGAAGGUUGGCUAAUCCUGGUCGGACAUCAGGAGGUUAGUGCAAUGGCAUAAGCCAGCUUGACUGCGAGCGUGACGGCGCGAGCAGGUGCGAAAGCAGGUCAUAGUGAUCCGGUGGUUCUGAAUGGAAGGGCCAUCGCUCAACGGAUAAAAGGUACUCCGGGGAUAACAGGCUGAUACCGCCCAAGAGUUCAUAUCGACGGCGGUGUUUGGCACCUCGAUGUCGGCUCAUCACAUCCUGGGGCUGAAGUAGGUCCCAAGGGUAUGGCUGUUCGCCAUUUAAAGUGGUACGCGAGCUGGGUUUAGAACGUCGUGAGACAGUUCGGUCCCUAUCUGCCGUGGGCGCUGGAGAACUGAGGGGGGCUGCUCCUAGUACGAGAGGACCGGAGUGGACGCAUCACUGGUGUUCGGGUUGUCAUGCCAAUGGCACUGCCCGGUAGCUAAAUGCGGAAGAGAUAAGUGCUGAAAGCAUCUAAGCACGAAACUUGCCCCGAGAUGAGUUCUCCCUGAGACUUAGAGUCUCCUGAAGGAACGUUGAAGACGACGACGUUGAUAGGCCGGGUGUGUAAGCGCAGCGAUGCGUUGAGCUAACCGGUACUAAUGAACCGUGAGGCUUAACCUUACAACGCCGAAG